GACGAACGCUGGCGGUGUGCUUAACACAUGCAAGUCGAACGGUAAGGCCCUUUUUUGGGGUACACGAGUGGCGAACGGGUGAGUAACACGUGAGUAACCUGCCCUCAUCUCUGGGAUAACAGUCGGAAACGGUUGCUAAUACUGGAUAUGAGCUUGCAAGGCAUCUUGUGGGUUGGAAAGAUAUUUUUUGGUUGGGGAUG
RNAcentral lists this ribosomal RNA (200 nucleotides) under uncultured bacterium. RNAcentral describes it as "partial 16S ribosomal RNA". It matches the Rfam family "Bacterial small subunit ribosomal RNA", at positions 28 to 227 of the family's 1533-position model. The record is from RNAcentral.